CCUACGGGUGGCAGCAGUCGGGAAUAUUGCGCAAUGGAGGGAACUCUGACGCAGUGACGCCGCGUAUAGGAAGAAGGUUUUCGGAUUGUAAACUAUUUUAGACAGGGAAGAAAAAAGACAGUACCUGUAGAAUAAGCUCCGGCUAACUACGUGCCAGCAGCCGCGGUAAUACGUAGGGAGCAAGCGUUAUCCGGAUUUAUUGGGUGUAAAGGGUGCGUAGACGGGAUAACAAGUUAGUUGUGAAAGCCCUCGGCUUAACUGAGGAACUGCAACUAAAACUAUUAUUCUUGAGUGCAGGAGAGGGAAGCGGAAUUCCUAGUGUAGCGGUGAAAUGCGUAGAUAUUAGGAGGAACACCAGUGGCGAAGGCGGCUUUCUGGACUGUAACUGACGUUGAGGCACGAAAGUGUGGGGAGCAAACAGGAUUAGAUACCCCGGUAGUC
This 441-nucleotide ribosomal RNA is filed under the name uncultured bacterium. RNAcentral describes it as "bacterial SSU rRNA". It matches the Rfam family "Bacterial small subunit ribosomal RNA", at positions 338 to 795 of the family's 1533-position model. The record is from RNAcentral.